Molecule: transfer RNA, 71 nt
Filed under: Vicugna pacos (alpaca)
Lineage: Eukaryota; Metazoa; Chordata; Mammalia; Artiodactyla; Camelidae
Description: tRNA-Gly (GCC) (tRNA-Gly-GCC-5-1)
Rfam family: tRNA
About the family: Transfer RNA (tRNA) molecules are approximately 80 nucleotides in length.
Source: Rfam by way of RNAcentral
GGGGGUAUAGCUCAGUGGUAGAGCACGUGCUUGCCAUGCAUGAGGUCCUGGGUUCAAUCCCAGUGCCUCCU